This 90-nucleotide transfer RNA is filed under the name Pyrenophora teres f. teres. RNAcentral describes it as "tRNA-Ile". It matches the Rfam family "tRNA". Rfam says of the family: Transfer RNA (tRNA) molecules are approximately 80 nucleotides in length. Their secondary structure includes four short double-helical elements and three loops (D, anti-codon, and T loops). RNAcentral also lists the same sequence under 1 other name. Lineage: Eukaryota; Fungi; Ascomycota; Dothideomycetes; Pleosporales; Pleosporaceae. The record is from RNAcentral.
GGUCGCUUAGCUCAGUUGGUUAGAGCGUGGUGCUAAUAAGCAAUAUCGCUUGUGACGCCAAGGUCGCGAGUUCGACCCUCGUAGUGACCA